CCAAACUGAUAGAAUUUAUAGAUGGUGAAUAUGAUCACAUUCAGGCUGUCCUACUUACAUCCUCUCCAUUCUUUCCAGGGGGUCCAGCAGCACCACGGGGUCCCAUGGCACCCUGUAGAGAAAGACAUAUUUAAAAGAUCUCAGCAGUCGUCCAGCCAAUGAAGAGAAAAUCCACUUUCAAAAACCAGUGAGAAAAAAAACAAAAAAAGGGGGUUGAGAAGCUCCAGUAAACAAUGGUGAAACUUACGGUCGUCCUCGCCCUGCGCCCUGACCAGGAGCACCACUGCGCCGAGCAGCAGCGCCCGCCGCAAAUCCACAAAGCUGAACAUAUCUAGAUGCCACUAGACAUGUAGACUCUUUGAGGCAAGAGAGGAAAAAAGUUGGGGAUGUUUUCUCUUUCUGCUACACUCCACUCAUACACGGGUGUUUGGGGCAGGGUCCGCUUGUCUGUUCACAAUCCUCCUGACCCCAGCAGAAAACUCCCUACUGCCUACACAAACUUUCCACCAGGGUUUUUAUAUGGGAGCUGGAAGAACUGGGAGGUGCUGGGGACCGGACUGAGUGGGGACGCACCCUCAUUAUCCAGCUGCUGCCGCUCACGUUUAGGGAAGACAAGAAUGGACCCCUCCUUCAAAGAGAGAAAAAAACAGAAGAAAAGAAGAAGGAAAAUCAGCAGGUCCCUCCUUCCAUAAUUCCACAGCAGAAGGGUUGGAGUUUGGAUCAGAGCAGGAAGGGGGGCUGAGGAAACCUGAUCUUGAGGAGCAUCGGAGGGUCGGAGGAGGAUCUCCUCCUACAGCAGCCAUGGGUUUUAAUCCAGAUUUUAACUAUACUCUAGUCUACUUCCUGACUCACUUUGAUUUCAGUAGAUUAUUAGAAAACUUGAAGAUGCAUUUUUUCAGUUUUAGGUUUUCAAAAACAUUUCUAGAUCUUGAUUCGGCUUUGUUCUCACACUUUUUAGUCCACACACAGUUUGUUCUAGGCUUUGUUGCAGCUAAGUACUUCAACUUUCUUUUAAAGUGGUCGUAGAUUUUCUGAUUGUUGUUUUAGGUUUCCUGAGGUUUUCCUGGGUUUAAGGUAUCUGAGCGUUAAUGUGCAGAACAUGGCUGUAGGCUCAAUAGUGUUUGUUCUACUUCAUAGGUCUAACUCAGCUUGUGUUUUUGCUUCUGUUCCUGAAUUACUAAAGAUAAUUUGGAAGUUUAACCUCAGGGUUGGAAGGUUUUUUGGUUCCUUCGUUGAUUUAUCUCUUGCAGCAAAUUCACCCAGACAUUUGGGUCUUUUUUAAAUAAAGAAAUUCUUUGACCAAUUUUAUUUUUCGGGAAAUGUCUUUUCCCCGAGCUAUAAAAAGACCCCACAUUGUCAAAACAAAUGUAUUGGUUAAAACAUCACACGUGUAUUAAACAUAAUACAGACACGUUUAAACAUGAUAAAAUAGAUAUUUGGCCACUUGGGACAGCAGAAAUAAUUUGUGAACUUAACAUUUACUUAACUUCAUCUUCUUCGUUAAUUUGGCUAAUGUGCUAGCUAGCGGAAGCUAAUUUAAACACAGCACUUAUGGAAAACAUCAGCAUCAGUCUGGAAUAAUGUGUUUGUUUUUUUUAUUAAUAAAUAAUAAAAGUCUGACAUUCA
Long non-coding RNA from Labrus mixtus (cuckoo wrasse), 1626 nucleotides. RefSeq lists it as uncharacterized. The transcript has 2 exons. The record is from RefSeq and is a predicted model, not a curated record. Lineage: Eukaryota; Metazoa; Chordata; Actinopteri; Labriformes; Labridae.